GGUUAAGCGACUAAGCGUACACGGUGGAUGCCCUGGCAGUCAGAGGCGAUGAAGGACGUGCUAAUCUGCGAAAAGCGUCGGUAAGGUGAUAUGAACCGUUAUAACCGGCGAUGUCCGAAUGGGGAAACCCAGUGCAAUUCGUUGCACUAUCGUUAACUGAAUACAUAGGUUAACGAGGCGAACCGGGGGAACUGAAACAUCUAAGUACCCCGAGGAAAAGAAAUCAACCGAGAUUCCCCCAGUAGCGGCGAGCGAACGGGGAGCAGCCCAGAGUCUGAAUCAGCUUGUGUGUUAGUGGAACGGUCUGGAAAGUCCGACGGUACAGGGUGAUAGUCCCGUACACCAAAAUGCACAGGUUGUGAACUCGAAGAGUAGGGCGGGACACGUGGUAUCCUGUCUGAAUAUGGGGGGACCAUCCUCCAAGGCUAAAUACUCCUGACUGACCGAUAGUGAACCAGUACCGUGAGGGAAAGGCGAAAAGAACCCCGGCGAGGGGAGUGAAAAAGAACCUGAAACCGUGUACGUACAAGCAGUGGGAGCACCUUCGGGUGUGACUGCGUACCUUUUGUAUAAUGGGUCAGCGACUUAUAUUCUGUAGCAAGGUUAACCGUAUAGGGGAGCCGCAGGGAAACCGAGUCUUAACUGGGCGUUAAGUUGCAGGGUAUAGACCCGAAACCCGGUGAUCUAGCCAUGGGCAGGUUGAAGGUUGGGUAACACUAACUGGAGGACCGAACCGACUAAUGUUGAAAAAUUAGCGGAUGACUUGUGGCUGGGGGUGAAAGGCCAAUCAAACCGGGAGAUAGCUGGUUCUCCCCGAAAGCUAUUUAGGUAGCGCCUCGUGAAUUCAUCUUCGGGGGUAGAGCACUGUUUCGGCUAGGGGGUCAUCCCGACUUACCAACCCGAUGCAAACUACGAAUACCGAAGAAUGUUAUCACGGGAGACACACGGCGGGUGCUAACGUCCGUCGUGAAGAGGGAAACAACCCAGACCGCCAGCUAAGGUCCCAAAGUCAUGGUUAAGUGGGAAACGAUGUGGGAAGGCACAGACAGCCAGGAUGUUGGCUUAGAAGCAGCCAUCAUUUAAAGAAAGCGUAAUAGCUCACUGGUCGAGUCGGCCUGCGCGGAAGAUGUAACGGGGCUAAACCAUGCACCGAAGCUGCGGCAGCGACACUAUGUGUUGUUGGGUAGGGGAGCGUUCUGUAAGCCUGCGAAGGUGACCUGUGAGGGUUGCUGGAGGUAUCAGAAGUGCGAAUGCUGACAUAAGUAACGAUAAAGCGGGUGAAAAGCCCGCUCGCCGGAAGACCAAGGGUUCCUGUCCAACGUUAAUCGGGGCAGGGUGAGUCGACCCCUAAGGCGAGGCCGAAAGGCGUAGUCGAUGGGAAACAGGUUAAUAUUCCUGUACUUGGUGUUACUGCGAAGGGGGGACGGAGAAGGCUAUGUUAGCCGGGCGACGGUUGUCCCGGUUUAAGCAUGUAGGCUGGUUGUCCAGGCAAAUCCGGAUAAUCAAGGCUGAGGUGUGAUGACGAGGCACUACGGUGCUGAAGUAACAAAUGCCCUGCUUCCAGGAAAAGCCUCUAAGCAUCAGGUAACAUCAAAUCGUACCCCAAACCGACACAGGUGGUCAGGUAGAGAAUACCAAGGCGCUUGAGAGAACUCGGGUGAAGGAACUAGGCAAAAUGGUGCCGUAACUUCGGGAGAAGGCACGCUGGUGUGUAGGUGAAGUCCCUGCGGAUGGAGCUGAGACCAGUCGAAGAUACCAGCUGGCUGCAACUGUUUAUUAAAAACACAGCACUGUGCAAACACGAAAGUGGACGUAUACGGUGUGACGCCUGCCCGGUGCCGGAAGGUUAAUUGAUGGGGUUAUCCGUAAGGAGAAGCUCUUGAUCGAAGCCCCGGUAAACGGCGGCCGUAACUAUAACGGUCCUAAGGUAGCGAAAUUCCUUGUCGGGUAAGUUCCGACCUGCACGAAUGGCGUAAUGAUGGCCAGGCUGUCUCCACCCGAGACUCAGUGAAAUUGAACUCGCUGUGAAGAUGCAGUGUACCCGCGGCAAGACGGAAAGACCCCGUGAACCUUUACUAUAGCUUGACACUGAACAUUGAGCCUUGAUGUGUAGGAUAGGUGGGAGGCUUUGAAGCGUGGACGCCAGUCUGCGUGGAGCCAACCUUGAAAUACCACCCUUUAAUGUUUGAUGUUCUAACGUUGGCCCCUUACCGGGGUUGCGGACAGUGUCUGGUGGGUAGUUUGACUGGGGCGGUCUCCUCCCAAAGCGUAACGGAGGAGCACGAAGGUUAGCUAAUCCUGGUCGGACAUCAGGAGGUUAGUGCAAUGGCAUAAGCUAGCUUGACUGCGAGCGUGACGGCGCGAGCAGGUGCGAAAGCAGGUCAUAGUGAUCCGGUGGUUCUGAAUGGAAGGGCCAUCGCUCAACGGAUAAAAGGUACUCCGGGGAUAACAGGCUGAUACCGCCCAAGAGUUCAUAUCGACGGCGGUGUUUGGCACCUCGAUGUCGGCUCAUCACAUCCUGGGGCUGAAGUAGGUCCCAAGGGUAUGGCUGUUCGCCAUUUAAAGUGGUACGCGAGCUGGGUUUAGAACGUCGUGAGACAGUUCGGUCCCUAUCUGCCGUGGGCGCUGGAGAAUUGAGGGGGGCUGCUCCUAGUACGAGAGGACCGGAGUGGACGCAUCACUGGUGUUCGGGUUGUCAUGCCAAUGGCACUGCCCGGUAGCUAAAUGCGGAAGAGAUAAGUGCUGAAAGCAUCUAAGCACGAAACUUGCCCCGAGAUGAGUUCUCCCUGAGACUUUAAGUCUCCUGAAGGAACGUUAAAGACGAUGACGUUGAUAGGCCGGGUGUGUAAGCGCAGCGAUGCGUUGAGCUAACCGGUACUAAUGAACCGUGAGGCUUAACCUU
This 2902-nucleotide ribosomal RNA is filed under the name Klebsiella pneumoniae. RNAcentral describes it as "23S ribosomal RNA". It matches the Rfam family "Bacterial large subunit ribosomal RNA". Lineage: Bacteria; Pseudomonadati; Pseudomonadota; Gammaproteobacteria; Enterobacterales; Enterobacteriaceae. The record is from RNAcentral. RNAcentral also lists the same sequence under 3 other names.